CAUGAUUGUCUGAGCAUAUGCC
RNAcentral lists this microRNA (22 nucleotides) under Oryctolagus cuniculus (rabbit). RNAcentral's name for it is "ocu-miR-105b-3p". Its record names the gene ocu-miR-105b-3p. Lineage: Eukaryota; Metazoa; Chordata; Mammalia; Lagomorpha; Leporidae. The record is from miRBase by way of RNAcentral.